Molecule: ribosomal RNA, 218 nt
Filed under: Pheidole araneoides
Lineage: Eukaryota; Metazoa; Arthropoda; Insecta; Hymenoptera; Formicidae
Description: partial large subunit ribosomal RNA
Source: RNAcentral
GAAUUUUAUAUAAAUUAGUGGAAAUAAAUUAGGAAAAAAAUUAAUUAAUUUAUAUUUUAUUGGGAGGAUAAAUAAAUUAAAGAAACUUUAAAGAAUUAGGACAUAAAUUUAUGAGUUAAAUAAUGAGAAGAAUGAUUUAAAGAAUUAGAGUAGAAUUAAUUACCUUAGGGAUAACAGCGUUAUAUUUUUGGAGAGAUCUUAUUAAUAAAAAUGAUUGC